UGCAUUCACUACUGUAAGUUGCUCUGGAUAAGAGCGUCUGCUAACGGACUAAAA
Molecule: non-coding RNA, 54 nt
Organism: Salmo salar (Atlantic salmon)
Lineage: Eukaryota; Metazoa; Chordata; Actinopteri; Salmoniformes; Salmonidae
Source: Rfam